Biomphalaria glabrata is the source of this 376-nucleotide long non-coding RNA. RefSeq lists it as uncharacterized. The transcript is spliced from 2 exons. The record is from RefSeq and is a predicted model, not a curated record. Lineage: Eukaryota; Metazoa; Mollusca; Gastropoda; Planorbidae.
ACGAACUAAUAUUCAUUCUCUUGUACUGCCAGGGUCGAGUUGCGUUAGAGAGAAACGAAAUUCAUUGUAGUCUCCCUUUAACAGUGUUCACUUUAAAAAUGUUAUGGUGAUGUGGCCGGUCUGCUCCAGUACCGCCCUCUGACUGGCGACGAAGAUGUUCUUAAGGAUGUUAAGAGCAUUGAAGGUAUCUGUCAGGAUACCGGAACCAGAAGAAGCAGUAGAAUCCAAAACGUCUGCAUGAUGUCUCUCAUUAAAUCCUUGUCUAGAAAUGUAUUUCCUUGGCCACACUAUGAUAUCCACUGGACCACAAUAAGAUAUCCGCUGGACCAAAAUAUUAUAUCUGCUAGGCCACAAUAAAAUAUCUGCUGAACCACAA